UUAAGCGACUAAGCGUACACGGUGGAUGCCCUGGCAGUCAGAGGCGAUGAAGGACGUGCUAAUCUGCGAUAAGCGUCGGUGAGGUGAUAUGAACCGUUAUAACCGGCGAUUUCCGAAUGGGGAAACCCAGUGUGUUUCGACACACUAUCAUUAACUGAAUCCAUAGGUUAAUGAGGCGAACCGGGGGAACUGAAACAUCUAAGUACCCCGAGGAAAAGAAAUCAACCGAGAUUCCCCCAGUAGCGGCGAGCGAACGGGGAGGAGCCCAGAGCCUGAAUCAGUGUGUGUGUUAGUGGAAGCGUCUGGAAAGGCGUGCGAUACAGGGUGACAGCCCCGUACACAAAAAUGCACAUAUUGUGAGCUCGAUGAGUAGGGCGGGACACGUGGUAUCCUGUCUGAAUAUGGGGGGACCAUCCUCCAAGGCUAAAUACUCCUGACUGACCGAUAGUGAACCAGUACCGUGAGGGAAAGGCGAAAAGAACCCCGGCGAGGGGAGUGAAAAAGAACCUGAAACCGUGUACGUACAAGCAGUGGGAGCCUCUUAAUGGGGUGACUGCGUACCUUUUGUAUAAUGGGUCAGCGACUUAUAUUCUGUAGCAAGGUUAACCGAAUAGGGGAGCCGAAGGGAAACCGAGUCUUAACUGGGCGUUAAGUUGCAGGGUAUAGACCCGAAACCCGGUGAUCUAGCCAUGGGCAGGUUGAAGGUUGGGUAACACUAACUGGAGGACCGAACCGACUAAUGUUGAAAAAUUAGCGGAUGACUUGUGGCUGGGGGUGAAAGGCCAAUCAAACCGGGAGAUAGCUGGUUCUCCCCGAAAGCUAUUUAGGUAGCGCCUCGUGAAUUCAUCUCCGGGGGUAGAGCACUGUUUCGGCAAGGGGGUCAUCCCGACUUACCAACCCGAUGCAAACUGCGAAUACCGGAGAAUGUUAUCACGGGAGACACACGGCGGGUGCUAACGUCCGUCGUGAAGAGGGAAACAACCCAGACCGCCAGCUAAGGUCCCAAAGUCAUGGUUAAGUGGGAAACGAUGUGGGAAGGCCCAGACAGCCAGGAUGUUGGCUUAGAAGCAGCCAUCAUUUAAAGAAAGCGUAAUAGCUCACUGGUCGAGUCGGCCUGCGCGGAAGAUGUAACGGGGCUAAACCAUGCACCGAAGCUGCGGCAGCGACACUAUGUGUUGUUGGGUAGGGGAGCGUUCUGUAAGCCUGUGAAGGUGGCCUGUGAGGGUUGCUGGAGGUAUCAGAAGUGCGAAUGCUGACAUAAGUAACGAUAAAGCGGGUGAAAAGCCCGCUCGCCGGAAGACCAAGGGUUCCUGUCCAACGUUAAUCGGGGCAGGGUGAGUCGACCCCUAAGGCGAGGCCGAAAGGCGUAGUCGAUGGGAAACAGGUUAAUAUUCCUGUACUUGGUGUUACUGCGAAGGGGGGACGGAGAAGGCUAUGUUGGCCGGGCGACGGUUGUCCCGGUUUAAGCGUGUAGGCUGGUUUUCCAGGCAAAUCCGGAAAAUCAAGGCUGAGGCGUGAUGACGAGGCACUACGGUGCUGAAGCGACAAAUGCCCUGCUUCCAGGAAAAGCCUCUAAGCAUCAGGUAACAUCAAAUCGUACCCCAAACCGACACAGGUGGUCAGGUAGAGAAUACCAAGGCGCUUGAGAGAACUCGGGUGAAGGAACUAGGCAAAAUGGUGCCGUAACUUCGGGAGAAGGCACGCUGAUAUGUAGGUGAAGCGACUUGCUCGUGGAGCUGAAAUCAGUCGAAGAUACCAGCUGGCUGCAACUGUUUAUUAAAAACACAGCACUGUGCAAACACGAAAGUGGACGUAUACGGUGUGACGCCUGCCCGGUGCCGGAAGGUUAAUUGAUGGGGUUAGCGGUAACGCGAAGCUCUUGAUCGAAGCCCCGGUAAACGGCGGCCGUAACUAUAACGGUCCUAAGGUAGCGAAAUUCCUUGUCGGGUAAGUUCCGACCUGCACGAAUGGCGUAAUGAUGGCCAGGCUGUCUCCACCCGAGACUCAGUGAAAUUGAACUCGCUGUGAAGAUGCAGUGUACCCGCGGCAAGACGGAAAGACCCCGUGAACCUUUACUAUAGCUUGACACUGAACAUUGAGCCUUGAUGUGUAGGAUAGGUGGGAGGCUUUGAAGUGUGGACGCCAGUCUGCAUGGAGCCGGCCUUGAAAUACCACCCUUUAAUGUUUGAUGUUCUAACGUUGGCCCGUAAUCCGGGUUGCGGACAGUGUCUGGUGGGUAGUUUGACUGGGGCGGUCUCCUCCUAAAGAGUAACGGAGGAGCACGAAGGUUGGCUAAUCCUGGUCGGACAUCAGGAGGUUAGUGCAAUGGCAUAAGCCAGCUUGACUGCGAGCGUGACGGCGCGAGCAGGUGCGAAAGCAGGUCAUAGUGAUCCGGUGGUUCUGAAUGGAAGGGCCAUCGCUCAACGGAUAAAAGGUACUCCGGGGAUAACAGGCUGAUACCGCCCAAGAGUUCAUAUCGACGGCGGUGUUUGGCACCUCGAUGUCGGCUCAUCACAUCCUGGGGCUGAAGUAGGUCCCAAGGGUAUGGCUGUUCGCCAUUUAAAGUGGUACGCGAGCUGGGUUUAGAACGUCGUGAGACAGUUCGGUCCCUAUCUGCCGUGGGCGCUGGAGAACUGAGGGGGGCUGCUCCUAGUACGAGAGGACCGGAGUGGACGCAUCACUGGUGUUCGGGUUGUCAUGCCAAUGGCACUGCCCGGUAGCUAAAUGCGGAAGAGAUAAGUGCUGAAAGCAUCUAAGCACGAAACUUGCCCCGAGAUGAGUUCUCCCUGACCCUUUAAGGGUCCUGAAGGAACGUUGAAGACGACGACGUUGAUAGGCCGGGUGUGUAAGCGCAGCGAUGCGUUGAGCUAACCGGUACUAAUGAACCGUGAGGCUUAACCUU
This 2902-nucleotide ribosomal RNA is filed under the name Escherichia coli DEC2E. Its description in RNAcentral is "bacterial LSU rRNA". It matches the Rfam family "Bacterial large subunit ribosomal RNA". Lineage: Bacteria; Pseudomonadati; Pseudomonadota; Gammaproteobacteria; Enterobacterales; Enterobacteriaceae. The record is from RNAcentral.